RNAcentral lists this long non-coding RNA (1971 nucleotides) under Zea mays. RNAcentral's name for it is "long non-coding RNA (ZMAY_LNC003444)". The record is from RNAcentral. Lineage: Eukaryota; Viridiplantae; Streptophyta; Magnoliopsida; Poales; Poaceae.
CCCCCUCCCCUCUCUCAUCUUCUUCCUCCUCAAACCCUUGCAGCCAUCACCACUCAAAACCCUAGCCGCCCCCCCCCCAUUUUCUCCCUCCCCUCCAACGUGCAGCCCUCCCGCGUGUUUCUCCGUCGUGUGGCUGCGAUCUCAAUUGGAGUUUGGAGGGAGGAAGAAGGAAGGAGGAAGGGAAGAUCCCAAGGUGAAUUUGUGAUUAACUUUUGUUGUUUUUGUGCUGCAAAUAAUUUGAUUAUGUGUUUAUCUAUGCGAAUCGGUAGAGGUGCUGUCCAGAAAUUUUGUGAGUGGGCGAACAGCAGUAGUUCUAGAGGUUUCUGGGAAUUUUCGUGGGUUAAUAAGUGGGAAUCAGUGGGAGAAUCAUGUAGAGCUUUGUCAUACCUUUUCAACGAGUACUUAUGCGCUCGAUUCGGAGUUAUAAUUUAGGAGAUAUCGUUGUUUGAAUCCGAGUAUGUUGCUGUAAAAAAACAGAUUUUUCAGGUGGGCGAACAGCAGUAGUAUUAGCAGUUUCUAGGAAUUUUUCGUGGGUAAUUAGUGAUAACCAGUAUGAGAAUCAUGUAGGGCCUUGUCUUAUCUUUCCAACGAGUACUUAUGCGCUUGAUUCGGAAUUAUAUUUUAAAAGAUAUCGCUGUUUGAAUCCGGGUAUGUCGCUGCCCAAAAGAAAAAAAACAGAUUACAAGGCUUAUCUUGUGGAUGUCUUGGGCUAAUUAAAUGUUGGAAUUUAAUUAUAAAUUAUAUACAAAACUUGUGGGUAAUUUUAUGUAGAUGCCUCUGAUGUUUUUGUUUGUUACCACUGCUGUCAUAAUUUUAAAGUUAUGAAAUUAUUAAGCAGCGCCGCUGCAGUUUGGUCGGUGCGGGGAGAGUUGUUACCCGCGGCGGGGUUUGAGAUUGUGCGUAGGUGCGACAUCGUUUAUGAGCCUUAUUAUGUGAAAUUGGUGCACUAAGUUGUGUGUCAAAAACAGGUGGUGGACUUCCGGAUCGUACUUAGGGAUUUGCCCAAACUACCGGUGAAGGCAAGUAAAACAGUGAUGGUUAUUCCAUCUAUCGAUUGAAGAGUCUUAUACUUGAUUAUGUUUGUGCUAUUUGUGUUCGUAUUCAUAUUCCUAAUUGGGUACCGUCGUUUGAAGUUAUUCAUGUUUUAUUGAUUAUACAUGUUGAGGUUGUGGUCUGAUCAUGUUACCCAUGUGGUUUAUUAUGUGAAGUGGGUGGAAGUAUAUGUCUAGCACAUUUUAUUUGGGAAGAACUCAUGUUGUUGACAUGCAUAAUGCAUUCAUCAUCCAUUGCAUUGAAGUUCCGUUGCGAUCUUAUGGUCCGACCGUACCGGUACAAUGAGCAUCAUAUGUUGCCCGAGAAGGGGUAUGAUGCAGUUUCAUAUCCUUAGAGGUAUGAAGGCAGAAGUCAUACUGCAUCUAUAGCCAUGUGCAUUCAUGGGAGAAGUGUGGAACCUAUUAUGGUGAUGUGGAUAAUGUGGAUCUUUACUUUGUGAUUCAUCUUGGCAUUAAGUAAUUGAUUACUUGCUUACUUGCUGCAAAUUAAUAUUUAAGAAAGAAGUUGUGAACUACAUGGUUGCUUAUGCAUGGUUGGUUUACAUUGUCCAACUGUUGUUUGCUCUUUUUACUUGCUGAGAUGUGUCAUCUCACUCUUGCAUUGUCUGAUGCAGGCACCUGAUCUUUGCUUUGGGAAAGAAGGGAUGUAGCAGCAUGGCCACCACACCUUUAAAUAAAGGAACCACUGCUUAAUAAAGAUGUUAAACAGGGAGGGUCAAGUCUAGGGGAUUAUUACAUUCUAACCUUUCAUGGUAGUUGAACUGUUUAGUUUGGUGGGUUGAGUUGUCUAUCUUUUGUUUGGUCAUGAAUGUUUAUUUCUACCGUUGCAUUUCGAUUAUACUAAGUCAAUUAUAUUUCUUUUAUAUCCUGUAUAAACUCUAUGUUUCCCUUGUUAUGCUUCUUUCAAGGGAGGUGCUGC